UACAAUAUUUUGACUCUUCGUCUUAUUUGAAAUUUUUUUGCCACUAAUAUUUUUAUUGCUACUAGAUGAUAAAAUAUAAAUACUAUUAAUUUUUUUAAGUUUUUUAUAAAUUUUUCAAAUAAGACGAAUGGUCAAACGUUGGACAUGAAAA
RNAcentral lists this microRNA precursor (151 nucleotides) under Oryza brachyantha (malo sina). Its description in RNAcentral is "MIR812 microRNA precursor family". It matches the Rfam family "MIR812 microRNA precursor family", at positions 27 to 187 of the family's 205-position model. The record is from Rfam by way of RNAcentral. Lineage: Eukaryota; Viridiplantae; Streptophyta; Magnoliopsida; Poales; Poaceae.